Molecule: ribosomal RNA, 450 nt
Filed under: uncultured bacterium
Lineage: Bacteria
Description: bacterial SSU rRNA
Rfam family: Bacterial small subunit ribosomal RNA
Source: RNAcentral
GUGGGGAAUUUUGGACAAUGGGGGAAACCCUGAUCCAGCCAUUCCGCGUGAGUGAAGAAGGCCUUCGGGUUGUAAAGCUCUUUCAGGAGGGAAGAAACGGUUGCAGCUAAUACCUGCGACUAAUGACGGUACCUUCAGAAGAAGCACCGGCUAACUACGUGCCAGCAGCCGCGGUAAUACGUAGGGUGCGAGCGUUAAUCGGAAUUACUGGGCGUAAAGCGUGCGCAGGCGGUUUUGUAAGUCAGAUGUGAAAGCCCCGGGCUCAACCUGGGAACUGCGUUUGAAACUACAAGGCUAGAGUGUAGCAGAGGGGGGUAGAAUUCCACGUGUAGCAGUGAAAUGCGUAGAGAUGUGGAGGAAUACCGAUGGCGAAGGCAGCCCCCUGGGUUAACACUGACGCUCAUGUACGAAAGCGUGGGGAGCAAACAGGAUUAGAAACCCUUGUAGUCC